UGGCACUCAGGCGGCUCUUAAUAGAUGGUAUGAAAAGGGUGUCUUUUCCCUCUGCCUCACCCCUCUCAAUAGUACAAAUAAAACCCCCCACAAGAUUAAAGAAGAGAGUUAAAGCAAGAAUCCUCAUGACAAGGGGUGGCUACUCUGGCAUUUUCAAGUCUUGAGGUUGCUGUUUUCCAGGGGGUGAUGUGCAGGGGCAGACCUGCCUGACUUGGAUAUCAGCUUCUCCAUGAAAAUAUGCAGUGCCUAAAAUUUACACUGAUCGAUUUGUUCACGAGAAAGGACAUUUCUAAAAGAGCCAGGAGACUGCCCCCAGAACCAAGAGGAGUACUGGAGAGCAGAAGAUGAAGAAAAACCUUUAAACAGCAGAGCAGUGAAGUGGAGGGAGAGGCGGCCCCUCUCCUUUGCCAGAGACUCCCACUCCCAGAUGCAGGCUGGAGCGAUCCCUCAUAAUUUAAGCUGACACCCCUCAGCGGAGAUGAAAGGAACACCACUCGCUGCUCUCCAACAACAAAUGUCAGCAUCCCUGGAGGCCGUUUAGACACAAACGCAGCAUAAAUCUGACUCCUAGUGGGGAAGUCCAGAGAUUAAGUCUCCACACACAGCCUACCAGAGUGAAAUGAAUUUGCUUGGCACAAAGUUUGAA
This 646-nucleotide long non-coding RNA is filed under the name Homo sapiens (human). RNAcentral describes it as "LMX1A antisense RNA 1". Lineage: Eukaryota; Metazoa; Chordata; Mammalia; Primates; Hominidae. The record is from RNAcentral.